This is a non-coding RNA of Meleagris gallopavo (turkey), 838 nucleotides long. Lineage: Eukaryota; Metazoa; Chordata; Aves; Galliformes; Phasianidae. The record is from RefSeq and is a predicted model, not a curated record.
UCCCGUCAAUUGGGCAGCGGGGCUGUUUAUCUGGAGAAGAGAGGAUGCCGAUUGGCUCGAAGUGACGCGUGCGGCAUCACGGGCCGAGCCUACGCUUACGGACGGGAACGAAAAGGGCGGGUUCUCGGGAGAGCGGGCUGCUAUUGGCUGCGCAGUCUGAGGACGCCCUGCCCCUUCCGCUCAGGGCCGGAUGUGAGCGCGGCGGUCACCCGGCAACGGCGGUGGGGUGGAAGUGUCGGCCGGCACCAGAGCAUCGGCACGGCCCGCACCGGAACGCCGACAGUCGGGGCUGGCUGUCGGAAAGGCUCUGCAGGAGGAUGCGAGGCCCGCUGUGGUGCUGCCGUGUCGCCUUGUCGGGCUGCCGCCCGCGCGGUCACUGUGCGGCUCCUCAGGCGGAACGCGGGCCGCGUCUGCGGCCGGGUGACCGCCCGUACGGCCGUGUGAUGGGCGGGCGUCGGUGUGCGGGGCCGGGCACCGCUGGGCUGGAAGCUGAGCAGUGCCCUAAACGGGAAACUGGUUUACUCCUGAGAGACACAGUGAGAGUCAGGGUUGGGUCAAAGAGGCUCCGUCCUUCAGUGUCUCCACCACUUCAGCACUGCGCUUUGCAUCCUGCUCUCUGAUUCAGCAGUUCUCCCAGGCGGUUUCAGGACAGUUGCUUCAGUUCGUUGAUUUGCUUCCCAGCAUCCACCUGCUGUUAGCGAACGGGGCUCUCGUAUGUCAAUUCUUAAUCCUGCUGUCUCCAUCUAGUGUCCAAAUCGCACCUCUGCUCCUCUCAGCCCCUUGGAAGAACUGCAGACCUAACAGCCUGUAUCGCUGCCCCAGUAUCCACUGAAGCUUA